Molecule: transfer RNA, 69 nt
Filed under: Marmota marmota marmota (Alpine marmot)
Lineage: Eukaryota; Metazoa; Chordata; Mammalia; Rodentia; Sciuridae
Also listed under: 1 other name
Rfam family: tRNA
About the family: Transfer RNA (tRNA) molecules are approximately 80 nucleotides in length. Their secondary structure includes four short double-helical elements and three loops (D, anti-codon, and T loops).
Source: Rfam by way of RNAcentral
GGGGUUAUAGCUCAGUGGUAGAGUACUUGCCUUGUAUGCAUGGGGCACUGGGUUUGAUCCUUAGCACCA